This is a long non-coding RNA of Homo sapiens (human), 1835 nucleotides long. RefSeq annotates it as TMEM41A divergent transcript. NCBI's taxonomy places the organism in Eukaryota, Metazoa, Chordata, Mammalia, Primates, Hominidae. The record is from RefSeq and is a predicted model, not a curated record. The transcript has 2 exons.
CUCUCUGUCCUUCGGUGGAGACUCCGGGAAAAACCUGCCUCCCAGUCUGCCCUCUCUCCGUCUGUCUGUGCUUGUUUUUCUACGUUUAUCCCUGUCGCUUUCCCCACUUAUUCUGCAGGCAUGGCGCGCCCCCAGUGCCGGCUUGGUGCCAGGGCUGGGAGAUCCGGGGGUGAAUCGUGAGCCCGGCCCACAGCGAGCUUGCAGUCUAGAGAUCAAGGCAGUCUUGUCCACAACCUGCUGUCACAUAAAGCAAAUGUAGCUGGUGUAGCACCAGGGGCUGCAAUCAAGUGCGGUGGGGCGGCAAUAGUGACCACGGAAAUAAUCAGAAUUGCUUUUAAUUCAGCUCCUACUAUAUUCCCGCAUCCCUGAGCCUCACAAUCAUCCUCCAAGGUAGGUAUUUUUGUCUUUCUCUAACAGAUGAAAACUCUGAGUUUCAGAAGAAUUAAAUGACAUCCCCCCAAAAGAGAGACAGUAUAAGAAUCCAAGUCAACCUGAGUCCAAAACCAGUGGCCCUUAACACUGUGUGGCUUUAUGGAGGACAUGGAGUUUAAGUUUACCUUCAAGGAUGAGCAACACUUUUCUUCAAGCAGAAAAAGAAGGGAAUGGGUGAACACGGUCCCAGGAUGUUCGCUUUGGCAGAUGAUUAGAAUACGUGCUGACUUGAUAGCCACAACUGUCCUGAUAAGAAAGUACGCCGGCCUGGCUGGGCAUGGUGGCUCACGCCUGUAAUCCGAGGAUUUUGGGAGGCCCAGGCGGGCGGAUCACUUGAUGUCAGGAGUUCGAGACCAGCCUGUCCAACAUGGUGAAACCCCGUCUGUACUAAAAAUACAAUAAUUAGCCGAGCAUGAUGGCAUGUGCCUGUAAUCCCAGCUACUCGGGAGGCUGAGGCACGAGAAUCGCUUGAACCUGGAAGGCAGAGGUUGCAGUUACUUUCCCGACAUUGCACCACUGCACUCCAGCCUUGGCGACAAGAGCGAAAUUUUGUCUCAAAAAAGAAAGAAAGAAAGCACUCAGGCCUGACCCAGGACCACAGCAGUGGACAUGGAGGGAGGAGGCUGGGGGUAGUUGGAUUGGUAUGAUAUGUCACUGAGUAAACGAAGGAAGGGACAGAAAGAGAACUCCAAAGUGUCAAAAGCCUGGACAACAGAGAGAAAGCAUCCUUGUCCUAUCAUUUAAAGCACCUGUUGGGCCAAAUAGGGAGCACCUUUCAGAAUCCAUGUGCACAAGAUCUCAGCAAUUCUACGUCCAAGAAUGUAACCUACAUCCAAGAAUGUACUGGAAUUUAAUUCCACAUCCAAGAAUCCCCAUAGGUAGCAAAGAUGUAUAUUUAAGGGUAUUCUCUCAGCUUUGUUUUUAUGUUAGGAGAUUGGGAACAACCUAAAUGCCCAUCAGCUGGUGACUGGCUAGGUUAACUAUUCACAAAUGGAAUACUAGGUAGCCUCCUAAAAGAGGAAAGCAAUUCUACAUAUCCUGAUACAGUGUGGUCACCAGAUAGAUGGCUAAGAUACAAAUAAAACAAACAAGUUGCAGUGUUAGAGUAUGCUAUGUAUCACUCCUUUUUAAGGACAAAAAGAGGAUAUACUUUAACUUUUUAAGAUACCAAAGUAUUUAUUUAUUUAAAAUUUUUUUCACAGAAUUGUUAUAGCAUGUAGAACCAAAAAUUAUUUACAAAUGAAAUUAUUCAAUGUCUGAGAUUUGUGUCAAAAUAAUGGUAUGGGGGUUUAGUGAGUAAGCAUGUAGGUAGAACAAGAUUGUCCAUGAGCUGAUAGUUGUUGAAGCUGGGUGAUCACCUGGGUGUUUUAUACUAUUUGGGUGUUAAACUAUUUUUUUUUCUA